CGACGAGGUCACCGAUACUGAAUCCCGCUACAUACCCUUGCCGAUCCGCGAAAGGCGGGAGAACGCGUUUCCAGUGGCGAUAGGUCUCCACCGAAAUGCCGACUGUUUCCCGCAACUGACCAGGUGUAAAUUGCACUGUUUGCUACCCAAUGAAUCUGGGGUGAACCCCCAAAAAAGACCUUACGGUCGCCGCCGUGCGACGUCAAUAUCUUCGUUCUAUUUUUGUUCCGCAUAAAGUUCAGCAAUAUUAAUAUCUUACAUGAAUCUACCUCAACUGA
Molecule: unclassified non-coding RNA, 278 nt
Filed under: plant metagenome
Description: partial contains 5.8S ribosomal RNA, internal transcribed spacer 2, and large subunit ribosomal RNA
Source: RNAcentral